ACGCUCGACACCUACGGGGGCAGCAGUGGGAAUAUUGCACAAUGGGGGAAACCCUGAUGCAGCGACGCCGCGUGGAGGAAGAAGGUCUUCGGAUUGUAAACUCCUGUUGUUGGGGAAAAGAGGAUGGUACCCAACAAGGAAGUGACGGCUAACUACGUGCCAGCAGCCGCGGUAAUCUGAGCGGGCGUGGCAAGGC
This 196-nucleotide ribosomal RNA is filed under the name uncultured bacterium. Its description in RNAcentral is "partial 16S ribosomal RNA". It matches the Rfam family "Bacterial small subunit ribosomal RNA", at positions 328 to 544 of the family's 1533-position model. The record is from RNAcentral.